AUUAUCAGAACAUGUAACCAAAUCACAGAAUCAUAGGAUAAUCAGAUUAGUACGUGGUAACUAGGUAGUGGGAUAAUCAGAUUAGUACGUGGUAACUAGGUAGUGGGAUAAUCAGAUUAGUGGUGGCUAGGUAGUGGGAUAAUCAGAUUAGUGGUGGCUAGAUAGUGGGAUAAUCAGAUUAGCGGUAACUAGGUAGUGGGAUAAUCAGAUUAGUGGUGGCUAGGUAGUGGGAUGAUCAGAUUAGUGGUGGCUAGAUAGUGGGAUAAUCAGAUUAGCGGUAACUAGGUAGUGGGAUAAUCAGAUUAGUGGUAACUGGCUACUAGGAUAAUCAGAUUAGUGGUGACUAGAUAGUGGGAUAAUCAGAUUAGUGGUGGCUAGGUAGUGGGAUAAUCAGAUUAGUGGUAACUAUAGGUAGUGGGAUAAUCAGAUUAGUGUUGGCUAGUUAGUGGGAUAAUCAGAUUAGUGGUAACUGGCUACUAGGAUAAUCAGAUUAGUGGUGACUAGAUAGUGGGAUAAUCAGAUUAGUGGUGGCUAGGUAGUGGGAUAAUCAGAUUAGUGGUAACUAUAGGUAGUGGGAUAAUCAGAUUAGUGGUGGCUAGGUAGUGGGAUAAUCAGAUUAAUGGUGGCUGGCUACUAGGAUAAUCAGAUUAGUGGUGGCUAGGUAGUGGGAUAAUCAGAUUAGUGGUAACUAGGUAGUGGGAUAAUCAGAUUAGUGGUGGCUAGGUAGUGGGAUAAUCAGAUUAGUGGUGGCUAGGUA
This is a long non-coding RNA of Pecten maximus, 757 nucleotides long. RefSeq lists it as uncharacterized. The transcript is spliced from 3 exons. NCBI's taxonomy places the organism in Eukaryota, Metazoa, Mollusca, Bivalvia, Pectinida, Pectinidae. The record is from RefSeq and is a predicted model, not a curated record.